RNAcentral lists this non-coding RNA (28 nucleotides) under Macaca fascicularis (crab-eating macaque). Lineage: Eukaryota; Metazoa; Chordata; Mammalia; Primates; Cercopithecidae. The record is from RNAcentral. RNAcentral also lists the same sequence under 1 other name.
AAGGAUGUCACCUGGGAGGGCUGAGGUC